This 435-nucleotide ribosomal RNA is filed under the name uncultured bacterium. RNAcentral describes it as "partial 16S ribosomal RNA". It matches the Rfam family "Bacterial small subunit ribosomal RNA", at positions 29 to 507 of the family's 1533-position model. The record is from RNAcentral.
AGCGAACGCUGGCGGCAGGCUUAACACAUGCAAGUCGAGCGGGCAUCUUCGGAUGUCAGCGGCAGACGGGUGAGUAACACGGGGGAACGUACCCUUCGGUUCGGAACAACUCUGGGAAACUGGAGCUAAUACCGGAUACGCCCUUAUGGGGAAAGGUUUACUGCCGAAGGAUCGGCCCGCGUCUGAUUAGCUAGUUGGUGGGGUAACGGCCUACCAAGGCGACGAUCAGUAGCUGGUCUGAGAGGAUGAUCCGCCACACUGGGACUGAGACACGGCCCAGACUCCUACGGGAGGCAGCAGUGGGGAAUAUAGGACAGUGGGCGCAAGCCUGAUCCAGCCAUGCCGCGUGAGUGAUGAAGGCCUUAGGGUUGUAAAGCUCUUUUGUCCGGGACGAUAAUGACGGUACCGGAAGAAUAAGCCCCGGCUAACCUCGUG